Molecule: long non-coding RNA, 693 nt
Filed under: Sus scrofa (pig)
Lineage: Eukaryota; Metazoa; Chordata; Mammalia; Artiodactyla; Suidae
Description: lncRNA (ENSSSCG00025044377.1)
Source: RNAcentral
CUUACGAAGGCUUCAUUACACUGGAAUGAUUAUUUUUGUGUGUGUGUGUUUUUAGGGCUUUACCCACAGCAUAUGAAGGUUCCCAGGCUAGGAGUCGAAUUGGAGCUGUAGCUGCUGGCCUACACCCCAGCCCCAUCCACGUGGGAUCCAAGCCACGUCUGCGACCUACACCGCAGCUCAUGGAAACACCAGAUCCUCAGCCCACUGAGUGAGGCCAGGGAUUGAACCUCCGUCCUCACAUCCAAUGCCUGUUGAACAGUACAAGAUUCAUCCUGGGUGACGUACUGGAAGCAAACUCAUGAAACCUGCUAAAGUGUAUUAAUCAACUCAAAGCCGCUGUUGAGAUUGUCCCGCUUGGGAUUCUACUAGUUUGACCUGCAAUAACGAGACUUGUCCAAGAGCCGGGCACUUGAAAAUUGAUGAUAACUAUCCCGUUGUGUCACAAUCAGUGACCAAAAAUCAGUCAUCAUCCAGAGAAGUUGGACAGAUGACCUUAAUAUAUAAAGAGAAAGUUCAUAUUGGAGCAAAAAAUAAGAAGUAUAUGCUCCAGGACCUGUGUGAAUCACAGCUGCCAGAAAACCAAGAAAGCAGAAAAGAUUCUCCUGAAAAAUAUCCUCAUUUGAAGGUAGCAUGUUUUAUACAUUCAUCUUGAAUUAUUUACUCCACACUGUAUCAUCUGUACAUUAUGGAUUA